Molecule: ribosomal RNA, 403 nt
Filed under: uncultured Anaerofilum sp.
Lineage: Bacteria; Bacillati; Bacillota; Clostridia; Eubacteriales; Oscillospiraceae
Description: bacterial SSU rRNA
Rfam family: Bacterial small subunit ribosomal RNA
Source: RNAcentral
GGGGGAUAUUGCACAAUGGAGGAAACUCUGAUGCGGCGACGCCGCGUGAGGGAAGAAGGUUUUCGGAUUGUAAACCUCUGUCUUCGGGGACGAAACAAAUGACGGUACUCGAGGAGGAAGCCACGGCUAACUACGUGCCAGCAGCCGCGGUAAUACGUAGGUGGCAAGCAUUGUCCGGAAUUACUGGGUGUAAAGGGAGCGCAGGCGGAACUGCAAGUUGGGUGUUUAAUCUACGGGCUCAACCCGUAUCAGCAUUCAAAACUGUGGUUCUUGGGGAAAGGAGAGGGAGGGGGAAAUUCCGGGGGAGGGGGUGAAAGCGGAAAUAUUCGGAGGAAAAACAAGGGGGGAAGGGGGCCAACUGGCAUCAACUGACGCUGAGGCUCGAAAGCAUGGGUAGCAAACA